GAACCGGUGGCCACUGCCUGGGUGGUGGCAGGGCCGUUGUUGUUGCUGAGUGUCAGUGAUGUGUGCUCUCUCAGCCCCAGGUCCUCAGGGGGUUCCAAGAUGCUUCUCUUGCAAACUAGGAGCAGCUUUAUAAGUGCUCACGGCCCUGCGGUGCUUCGGUGUGGGUUCUACUGACCCCUAGGGACCCGAGGGAGGGGCAGUGGGACAGUGGUUGACCAAGUGAUCACCAAGCUGGGAGUGACAGGGAGUGCACAGCCUGUCACACAGGGUACUACUCAAGCAUUGCCUGUCUAUGGCUGGAGGUUAAAAAUGUAGAGACACAUUUUUAAAAAAUAAGUAGCUCCUGAUUAUGAUACUCCUGAGAAAUAAUUACUCGGGCAUAGCAUGCAUUUUCACUCUCAGACGUUGUCAUUCUCUCUGUAUUAAUUAAGCUAUAAUUAUGCUGUGAUUAUUAUUUCAUAAUCUACUUUCCCUACUUAGUAGAAUCUCGUCAGCUUGCUUUUCCAUAUUUUCCACCCAUAAUGAGAUGCCAGCCUCCUUGCUGCUCACGAUGGUGCUUGGGGACUGGUUGGUGGCCUUGAUGGGAUUGGCUUCUUGUAAGUGAGUCAGAUGCAAAGGUGCUCUGCCCUCUCACAUCUGUCCUUUACCCUGCCUGGCUUUGCAUGUGGUACCCAAGGAUGCUAGAGUCAAGUUGGUUGUUAGGGCAACACCUCAAAACCAAACAGGAUGAAGACACAGGCAUGCAGACCUGUUCUCUGCUGUCCACGGGAAGGAAGAGCUCUUGGGACAGGAGGCAUCCUGACUCGGAAGUCGGCAGACAGCCCCAGUCACCUCCGUUCACUUCUGCUUCAAGGUGUUCUGCGUUUCCAGAGGACGGCACCAACCGCGUGGAUGUGCCCGCCACACACUUACCUGCCUUCUGCUUGGGAUCGUGCUGUUAACCUCUGCUGGGCUCCAUGUGGCCUUCCCCAGAACGUCGCACCCAUGCUAGUGGCCUGAUGUGGGGGCACAGAAAACCUCCCCAAGCCCUCAGCCAAAGGGAGCACCGCCUCUCAGAGACUUUAUUCUUACCAUUAGGUCACCGGAUAUCUUACCCUAACACCCACGUCACUACCCCCGUGACCUGACCCUUCUCAUCAAACACCCCCAUUCCCCACUCGUCACCUCGGAGCCAAUUAGGCAGCCGUGAAAAUGGCCUGGGACCUGGAAUCCAGGGGCAUGACUCAACAUCCAAUGGGCUGCUCUGGUCUAAAUUUGGGAUGAUGGUAAUCACAGGUGUGUCCCAGCUUGUAGGGCUCCUCUAGGAAAUGAAUACAAGAAAAAAUGAAAAAGAAAAAUCGGGCAGCCCCGGUGGCACAGCGGUUUAGCGCCGCCUGCAGCCCAGGGUGUGAUCCUGGAGACCAGGGAUCGAGUCCCACGUCGGGCUCCCUGCAUGAAGCCUGCUUCUCCCUCUGCCUGUGUCUCUGCCUCUCUCUCUAGCUGUGUCUCUAUGAAUAAAUAAAUUAAAAAAAAAAAAAAAGAAAAAGUCAAAAAAGUCCACAUAGAGGUGGACAUCAGUGUUGUUGCUAGGCUGUAAGUCUCUGGAGAGGGUAUGUGCAUAUUCCACCUGCAUCCCCAUGAAAGAACCCAACAGACACUUAAAAUACGUGAUGGAGGGGCGCCUGGAGGCUCCAUCGGAUGAGUGGCUGACUUGGUUUCAGCUCAGGUUGUGAUCACAGGGUCGUGGGCUCGAGCCCUGUGUUGGUUGGGCUCCUCGCUCAGUGCAGAGUCUGCUUGAAUCCUCUCCCUCUCCUCUAUCCCUCUCCCUGCUCUCUCUCUCUCUCAUAUAAAUAAAUAAAUCUUUACAAUACAUGUUGGAAAAAGUGAGUCCUCACUGUGCUUCCUUUGGUGCCAUUACUCAGGAGUCAAGGGAAGGGAGGCGUUAUCCUGAUGACCCGGGUCAUGUCCCCCCGUCAAGAUGCCUACUGUCAUCCCAUCCACAAAGUCUCUCUUGCCCUAUAAGAUGACACAGUCAUGGGUUCUGGGGAUUAGCAUGUGAACAUCUUUGCUCUUGACUAAGGCAGAGAUGAGGGCUUUUGACUGGAUAUGGGACAGAGGAGGCUCAGAGCACAGACCCCUGUCCCAUGCUGGUGCAGCCUCAUCUCAUUUCCUAUUCAGGUCAAGCCUGGACAUGCGCGCCUACAAGCUACCCACCUUUGUGAGUUGAUUUCAAAUACCGUGAUGCACACACCUUUCUAUUCAUUAUAUUACAGAAGGUUCUAACACUAAGCAGAGAGAAUCAAAUGUGAUUUAACCACGGAAGAGUGAGGAAAGAGAAAGUCUUUACUCUCUGCCAUUUCCUUGUCGGAGUGGAUGCUACUUCUGAGUGGCGUAUUGUCAGAGGAGCCAGUGUGGGCCUGACCCCCUUGAGCAUCGACAGGCAGUGCCAGAGACUGAGCAACACUUUAGAAACUCAAAUGUUCUUGACUAUUCAGCUCAAGGGAUCAUGUUGCCCUGUCCUGGUCUGGUGGGAGCUGCUCCAAUGUGUUUGAGGUAUCCGAAGGUGGUGGGGGGCUGGUUGAGGGCUCCGGGAGCAGGUGCAGACACGGAGGCUGGGUAGGCCAGGCCACCUGGGCUCAGCGGUUUAGCACCACCUUCAGCCCAGGGUCUGAUCCUGGAGACCCACAUCAGGCUCCCUGCGUGGAGCCUGCUUCUCCUACUGCCUGUGUCUCUGCCUCUCUCUCUCUCUCUCUCUGUAUGUGUCUCUCAUGAAUAAAUAGAUAAAAUGUUAAAAAAAAAAAAGGGAACAAUGUUCAGUGUAGAUUUGUAGGGGGAUAUGGGAGGAAAGUCAAUCAGGGCACAUUUACAGAAUCCCAGACAUAAAAUGACCAUCAGGGCAUUGGUGGCUGUGGGGACAGAGAUGAACAAUGGGCUGAAGCCUCUUUGGGGUGACUCACAUCUCCGGCAUCCAGGGCGGUCAAGGCACAAAGAAGAGACGGUAACAAGCCCCGCAUAUAUUUAAGCCACUGCUACAUAAAGAAUGCAUGGAUCCCCAAAUAUGAAAGUCCAAUAUUGGACUUGCCAUCAGAGGGGGUUCUGGCUCAGGGAGGGACACCAGUACUUGAUGAGCCCUUCAGUGGCUGUGGGCAUCCCUCUGGUCACUCCCUGUGUCAGUGGACCCCUGGGGCCUGGGGAGCCUGAUGUCUGGUCAAACGCACUCAUUGCAUUGGCUUUUAUAAGAAACUGUUCCCUCAGGGAGGGGUAGGAGCCCCCUCCUCAUCUCAGUCCAGCUGCUGAAGCACAGCCCAGGGGAGAUGGGCGGGCUGGGGGGCGUGCAGGGUCUCAGUGCCUUCACAGACGGCCUCAAACAUGUCCCUGCCACUGAUGGCCACAUGCACACUGAGGCUGUCCCCAUGUCCUGUUGGAUGGUGCUCAUGCAAUCGUAGGCUCUGUGCGCCCUGCUCUGCCCCUGCGCGCUCACAGAGCACAUCCUUCCCACUAGCCGACCGUCUGUCCAUUCACCGGGGAACAAGGGCUGUCAUGGUGCUGCUGAAGCAUUUCCGAAGAGCAGCAGGGCUUGAGCAGGGA
Molecule: long non-coding RNA, 3567 nt
Filed under: Canis lupus familiaris (dog)
Lineage: Eukaryota; Metazoa; Chordata; Mammalia; Carnivora; Canidae
Description: lncRNA (ENSCAFG00000050828.1, ENSCAFG00805000485.1)
Source: RNAcentral